Long non-coding RNA from Cervus elaphus (red deer), 169 nucleotides. RefSeq lists it as uncharacterized. The record is from RefSeq and is a predicted model, not a curated record. Lineage: Eukaryota; Metazoa; Chordata; Mammalia; Artiodactyla; Cervidae. The transcript has 3 exons.
CCACAAGAGACUGAGCCAUACUUGCCUGUGAGUCUGUGUCUGUUUCGUAGAUAGGUUUAUUUGUUUCAUAUUUUAGAUUCUACAUAUAAGUGAUAUCAUAUGGCAUUUGCCUUUCUCUUUCUAACUUAUUUCACUUAGUGUGAUAAUCUCUAGUUGCAUCCAUGUUGUU